GACGUAGGGCGCGAGCGUUGUCCGGAAUUACUGGGCGUAAAGCGUGCGCAGGCGGCGCGUUAAGACAGGUGUGAAAGCCCCGAGCUUAACUUGGGAAUUGCGCUUGUGACUGGCGUGCUGGAGUGUGGCAGAGGGAGGUGGAAUUCCACGUGUAGCAGUGAAAUGCGUAGAGAUGUGGAGGAACACCGAUGGCGAAGGCAGCCCCCUGGGCUAACACUGACGCUCAUGCACGAAAGCGUGGGGAGCAAACAGG
This 253-nucleotide ribosomal RNA is filed under the name uncultured bacterium. RNAcentral describes it as "partial 16S ribosomal RNA". It matches the Rfam family "Bacterial small subunit ribosomal RNA", at positions 524 to 776 of the family's 1533-position model. The record is from RNAcentral.